GAUAAUCCUCUCUUUCAUAAUUAUCACUCAUAAUCUUUCAUUCUUCUUUAUAAAAUCAAUACUACCUUGAAUUAUAACUCACAUAUUUGUAAUCCUAAAACUGGUUCUUCUCACGUUCUCAUUCAACAUAUAGUUCCAUCUCUCAUACAAUCAAUUUCUAAAAUUUCAUAUUGUUAUCAUUUCCUCAGCAGCGAUGCCAAAAUAUUAUUCUCAUUGUGUUCAAGCUUCAAUAUACUAAAGCAAUUGAACUAAUAGAGGUGGAUUCAAACACGAGAAAAGACUAGUUAUAUGAAUUGGAUCUGCUAGUGUCACAAUUGACUGUACUCUAGCUAACUGAAAUCAAUUAUCAAACUACAAAAUACUAGGGCUUACUACUUCCAUCUUAAUUCAACACAUAAUCCAUUUUACGACUAUCAAUUCAACAAUACUUCCAUAUUCUUAUUAGUUCAUCUUCCACUUACUCUCUUUGUGAUUUAUAUAUAUAUAAUUACUAAUCUCCAGCUUACUAUUAUAUUCAAUUUCUCAAUUUAUGACAUAGAAUUCAAUAUCUUCACUAAAUACAACACAAUUCAAUAACCUCAAUUCUCAAGGUCACAGAUUUUUUUUAAAAUGGUCUGUCCAAAGUCAUAUUCUUCAAUAUUCUAAUCAUAAUUUCAACAAUACUUCUCUCAAUCACAAUUCGUCAUAAGCAAAUAAUAAAAGCAAAGAAAACAAAGAAGUAGCACCAAGCUUCCCCUGGCUUACGACUCUCACAGUUUGGCCCCGAUCUCCCACUUUUCAACUUCUUUAUCCUAUCAAAAGAUGGAUCGUCGGCUAGCACAUUCCAAAGGUUAUGAU
RNAcentral lists this long non-coding RNA (837 nucleotides) under Physcomitrium patens. RNAcentral describes it as "long non-coding RNA (PPAT_LNC002323)". Lineage: Eukaryota; Viridiplantae; Streptophyta; Bryopsida; Funariales; Funariaceae. The record is from RNAcentral.